This 1007-nucleotide long non-coding RNA is filed under the name Felis catus (domestic cat). RNAcentral's name for it is "lncRNA (ENSFCAG00000048581.1)". Lineage: Eukaryota; Metazoa; Chordata; Mammalia; Carnivora; Felidae. The record is from RNAcentral.
CACUUCUUUGUUCACCAUUGACAAACAUCAUUCAGCACAGGUACUAUGCUACAUACUUGGGGAUGUAGCACAGGUACCUCCUAAUUUGUAGUUUGGGGAAUGGUCAAAAAAGAAUAGAGAUAGACCUAUCCAUAAAGAGUUGCUUUAUUAGGAUAUAUAAAGGUUUAUAGUAUAUGAGUUGCCAGGGGAAGACUUCAUGCAGAAGGUGACAUUGAAAGUAAAGAAAAUGCCAAUAAAAAACUGAAUUUUCCAAUACAGGAUGAAUAAUGUUCAUGAGUCAUUACUCAGUUUUCUAAAAGUCUUGGAGCAUUAAACAUAAUGGAGUAAAAAAGGUUUCCAUCUUGGCAUAUAGAUUUAAUUACUACAUUUGAUUAGAGCUGAGAAAAAAAAUUGAGAAGAAGAUGAAUAUUCAGGACACUUUCCUUCCUCUAAGCAUUUUUACAGAGAAACAAUAUUCAUAAUCACCACAGAUGAAAAUACGAGGCAAAAAUUAAUUUGAAAAGCAUUUUGUUAUGAAGAAUUGUCAGUUUUCCCCAGAUGAGCGCAUGACACCUGCUGGCCAAAUUAUAUAAUUUCCCUCUCCAAAGGAAUGGAAUCUUUUGUGAAAAAUAUAGCUUUAAAUCCAAGUGUCAUGAGAAAGCAACAACGAAAGGUUAUUUAUUUCAUGAACCUCUUCAAUUCAAGCUCAUGAAACAGUAUUUUUAGAGGUAAGAGUACUGCAUUAAAAGAAGAAUCUAGCCUUAGAAUCAACUUCAGUCUGUCAUUUUGACUUGCUGUGCAACGUUUAUUAGGAAAAUUACCUAACCUCUCUGAAUAUCAGUUACUGGACACUCACAUGUGUGUGAUACAGGUGUCUACACUGCAGGGUUACCAAAAUUUCAUGGGCUAAUGUAAGUGAGUGUUCCCCACAUAAUAGGCGCUGCAUUACUGCCAUUAGAUUAGCAGCUUUUGCUAAAAGCAAAACUCUAUAUUCUAGAAAAUAAAUGGUAUCACACUCUAUAGAUAUU